UGGGGAAUCUUGGACAAUGGGGGCAACCCUGAUCCAGCCAUGCCGCGUGAGUGAUGAAGGCCUUAGGGUCGUAAAGCUCUUUCGCCUGUGAAGAUAAUGACGGUAGCAGGUAAAGAAACCCCGGCUAACUCCGUGCCAGCAGCCGCGGUAAUACGGAGGGGGUUAGCGUUGUUCGGAAUUACUGGGCGUAAAGCGCACGUAGGCGGAUCGGAAAGUUGGGGGUGAAAUCCCGGGGGCUCAACCCCCGGAACUGCCUCCAAAACUAUCGGUCUAGAGUUCGAGAGAGGUGAGUGGAAUUCCGAGUGUAGAGGUGAAAUUCGUAGAUAUUUGGAGGAACACCAGUGGCGAAGGCGGCUCACUGGCUCGAUACUGACGCUGAGGGUGCGAAAGUGUGGGGGAGCAAACAGGAUUAGAUACCCUGGUAGUCCACGCCGUAAAACGAUGAGCACUCGGUGCCGCGGGUAUCGACCCCCUGCGGUGCCUGAGCUAACGCAUUAAAGUGCUCCGCCUGGGGAGUACGGUCGCAAGAUUAAAACUC
RNAcentral lists this ribosomal RNA (538 nucleotides) under uncultured bacterium. RNAcentral's name for it is "bacterial SSU rRNA". It matches the Rfam family "Bacterial small subunit ribosomal RNA", at positions 355 to 902 of the family's 1533-position model. The record is from RNAcentral.